GUCCACGCCGUAAACGUUGUGCGCUAGGUGUGGGAGGUAUCGACCCCUCCCGUGCCGCAGCUAACGCAUUAAGCGCACCGCCUGGGGAGUACGCCCGCAAGGGUGAAACUCAAAGGAAUUGACGGGGGCCCCGCACAAGCGGUGGAGCAUGUGGUUUAAUUCGAGGCAACGCGAAGAACCUUACCCGGGCUUGACAUCUCCUGACCGCCCGUGAAAGCGGGUUUUCCCUUCGGGGACAGGAAGACAGGUGUUGCAUGGCUGUCGU
RNAcentral lists this ribosomal RNA (265 nucleotides) under uncultured bacterium. RNAcentral describes it as "partial 16S ribosomal RNA". It matches the Rfam family "Bacterial small subunit ribosomal RNA", at positions 793 to 1055 of the family's 1533-position model. The record is from RNAcentral.